CUGAGACACAGAGGCUGGUGGUACCUGCUCCAAGGGGAGAAGAGGUGCCCUUGAGCUCUUCACCCUGCAGUCGGAGCACAGAACCAUGGCAGUGGGAAUGAUGGGGUUGCCCCUUCUGAGACGGAUCCAAAAAUUCUGACCUCCUCUUCCUCAGGGAAACUUGCAACUACAGAGACUCUUCAUCCACAUGGGAGAGGAGUGAGAGGGCAAUGUUAGAUAAAUGCAGAAAUUCCUCUUCUCCUCACGGGAUGCUCCUGGUAAUGGAUAAGACCUCGUGGCUUGGCUUGCCCUCAUCCCUGGAGUCUCCUUUAGGAGGUAAUCUUCGGAGAAGAGAAACAACAGCAUUACUAUAUUCUGCACAGUGCCUUGCACAGUGUAUCCCUGAUGUGACUGGGCUUUUGGGCACAUCAGACCUACAGAGGAGCUACAGGGCUUCAGAACUCCCUUGCCCUCCUCUUGGAGCACUCCCUCAGUUCAGGUGCUGCAGAGACCACCAGAAGGGGCCUGUGCCAAGCCCUAAAGCCUCAGCAGAGAUGCUGAGGGCAGAGUCUGGAGGAGAUGCCACAUUGCCCCCAGGAGUGCUAAGAUACUGCCAAGGACCUUGCCGCUCUCCAGAGCAGCCAAGGACACCGAGGGCACAGGCAUAGUCCGUGACCAUAUUGGUGCCUUCCGUGCCCGGCGCUGCUCGCCUCCCACGCGUGCCCCGCUGUGCUCUGUGCUCAGCAGAGGGACACUGCACUCACACACUUCUCUGCUACCUGGCGCCUGAGCUGCACACAGACGUGCCUGUCAUUGCCUGGGCUCUGCCAUGGAUGGUUAAUUGCCAGUAAUUGGCAUCUGCCAAGAAGUCCCCUGAGACAGGGGCACCAAUAGACUUCUGCCAAGGCUUGUUUUGUACCAAAUAUCCCAAGGGAGAAUCUCGGCUACGUAAAACCCCAAUAUCUUGACUUACUCAGAAAAGCCUCCAACACACUGACUGACGCCUCGGAGCAGUUAUGUGCCCCAGCUAGCCAAAUACAUGUAAUUAUAAAGUAACUGCAAGGGUGAAUAAUAUAUCACACAUCAUCCUCUGAACAUAUGGACUCACAGAUUCUAUGUAAUGAGCAAUAGUCUGUGUAUUGCUGGGAUCUCAUACAGCUUGGGGAGUAGGUUAUAUAUUCAUGUAGUGUGAUGUGGCAGUCCCUCAGCUUAUCUGUCCCCACAAAAACACAGGAGCUGCUGCAGCCCUGCAAUGAUGUUGCUGGAUGUGAGGCUGAUCAGAAAUGGAAACUGAAAUAAACAACCAGUUUUAGAUCUUUGAGCA
RNAcentral lists this long non-coding RNA (1303 nucleotides) under Zonotrichia albicollis (white-throated sparrow). RNAcentral's name for it is "lncRNA (ENSZALG00000017010.1)". Lineage: Eukaryota; Metazoa; Chordata; Aves; Passeriformes; Passerellidae. The record is from RNAcentral.